UUGAAAGGGAAACGAUUGAAGUCAGUCGUGCUGGCGCGAAAUCAACCUUCUCGUCUUGAGAUCACAUGGCGUGGCGAGCCUCAAAACCGUCACGAAGCGUGAACUCUUGGUGAAAUGGAGCACUUUCGUGUCCGCUGGUUAACAUCAAUUUCGAACGUCAUAAAAAGGCUGGAGGGAUGUGGCUCCUUCGGGAGUGUUAUAACCUUUAGCGGAAUGUGGUGUUCGGGAUUGAGGAUUGCAACGAAUACCUUUAGGGCUGUUCCACCUGGCUUCUCUUUGGUAUCCUGGUGACGACAGCUUGCUGUCUUCGUUAGGAUUCGCCUUUGAACAGGCUAGAGUGUGAGCAAAUUCGUUAAGGAUGUUGACGUA
Molecule: ribosomal RNA, 369 nt
Filed under: uncultured Glomeromycotina
Lineage: Eukaryota; Fungi; Glomeromycota
Description: LSU rRNA
Source: RNAcentral